UACGGGGGGAGCAAGCGUUGUUCGGAUUUACUGGGCGUAAAGGGCGCGUAGGCGGUCGUGACAAGUCACUUGUGAAAUCUCCGGGCUUAACUCGGAACGGUCAAGUGAUACUGUCGGACUAGAGUACAGAAGGGGCAACUGGAACUCUCGGUGUAGCGGUGAAAUGCGUAGAUAUCGAGAGGAACACCUGCGGCGAAGGCGGGUUGCUGGGCUGAUACUGACGCUGAGGCGCGAAAGCCAGGGGAGCGAACGGG
RNAcentral lists this ribosomal RNA (254 nucleotides) under uncultured bacterium. Its description in RNAcentral is "partial 16S ribosomal RNA". It matches the Rfam family "Bacterial small subunit ribosomal RNA", at positions 524 to 776 of the family's 1533-position model. The record is from RNAcentral.